GUAAGGAAUAUUGGACAAUGGACGCAAGUCUGAUCCAGCCAUGCCGCGUGAAGGAUUAAGGUCCUCUGGAUUGUAAACUUCUUUUAUAAGGGACGAAAAAAGGCUUUUCUAAGUCGUCUGACGGUACCUUAUGAAUAAGCACCGGCUAACUCCGUGCCAGCAGCCGCGGUAAUACGGAGGGUACAAGCGUUAUCCGGAUUCACUGGGUUUAAAGGGUGCGUAGGCGGGCAGGUAAGUCAGUGGUGAAAUCCUAGAGCUUAACUCUAGAACUGCCAUUGAUACUAUCUGUCUUGAAUAUUGUGGAGGUAAGCGGAAUAUGUCAUGUAGCGGUGAAAUGCUUAGAUAUGACAUAGAACACCUAUUGCGAAGGCAGCUUACUACGCAUAUAUUGACGCUGAGGCACGAAAGCGUGGGGAUCAAACAGGAUUAGAAACCCGAGUAGUCC
RNAcentral lists this ribosomal RNA (445 nucleotides) under uncultured bacterium. Its description in RNAcentral is "partial 16S ribosomal RNA". It matches the Rfam family "Bacterial small subunit ribosomal RNA", at positions 354 to 796 of the family's 1533-position model. The record is from RNAcentral.